Molecule: transfer RNA, 85 nt
Filed under: Felis catus (domestic cat)
Lineage: Eukaryota; Metazoa; Chordata; Mammalia; Carnivora; Felidae
Also listed under: 3 other names
Rfam family: tRNA
About the family: Transfer RNA (tRNA) molecules are approximately 80 nucleotides in length. Their secondary structure includes four short double-helical elements and three loops (D, anti-codon, and T loops).
Source: Rfam by way of RNAcentral
GCCUGGGUGGCUUAGUCGGUUAAGCGUCUGACUUGGGCUCAGGUCAUGACCUUGCGGUUCGUGGGUUCGAACCCCACAUCAGGCC